RNAcentral lists this ribosomal RNA (468 nucleotides) under uncultured bacterium. RNAcentral describes it as "partial 16S ribosomal RNA". It matches the Rfam family "Bacterial small subunit ribosomal RNA", at positions 28 to 507 of the family's 1533-position model. The record is from RNAcentral.
GACGAACGCUGGCGGCGUGCUUAACACAUGCAAGUCGAACGGAAAGGCCCUGCUUUUGUGGGGUGCUCGAGUGGCGAACGGGUGAGUAACACGUGAGUAACCUGCCCUUGACUUUGGGAUAACUUCAGGAAACUGGGGCUAAUACCGGAUAGGAGCUCCUGCUGCAUGGUGGGGGUUGGAAAGUUUCGGCGGUUGGUGAUGGACUCGCGGCUUAUCAGCUUGUUGGUGGGGUAGUGGCUUACCAAGGCUUUGACGGGUAGCCGGCCUGAGAGGGUGACAGGACACAUUGGGACUGAGAUACGGCCCAGACUACUACGGGAGGCAGCAGUGGGGAAUAUUGCACAAUGGGCGGAAGCCUGAUGCAGCAACGCCGCGUGCGGGAUGACGGCCUUCGGGUUGUAAACCGCUUUCGCCUGUGACGAAGCGUGAGUGACGGUAAUGGGUAAAGAAGCACCGGCUAACUACGUG